RNAcentral lists this long non-coding RNA (519 nucleotides) under Manihot esculenta (cassava). Its description in RNAcentral is "long non-coding RNA (MESC_LNC002629)". Lineage: Eukaryota; Viridiplantae; Streptophyta; Magnoliopsida; Malpighiales; Euphorbiaceae. The record is from RNAcentral.
UGGGAAGUCUGCAUUAGGAGUGGACAAGCAAACUGAAUCUAGCCUCUGUUUUCCAAAUUCUUUCGAUGGGUAAUAAUACUUCAGGGGAGAGAAGCAAACAAGCCCAUCAGUCAUCCACCAGACUCGCCUUAACUUGCACAUAAAUUAUAGAAAAAUACAAAAAGGGGAGAAAUAUACCUUGGCCUCGCUGCAAAGAUACGUGCAGACGAUGGAGCUUUACAGCAAAUUGGUGCAAACUCCGGAGGAAAUUGGUAGAGAAGAGAGAGUGCAGAGCCGUAGAGUCAGAUACGGUAUCCCAUGAAAACUGAGAUUUGUAUAAUCUCGAUUUGCUAAAGAUCGUCACCAUUGUACUUUGCUUUUCCAUCUCUGAAUUUGAUCUGUUUAAUUAAAGAUUGAUUUGGUUAUUAAUUUUUUUAUUUGUAUUUAUCGAUCAAUCAAUCAAUCACAUCGUGCUCCGUGCAACAGGCUACUGCUACCUCUCUAUGCCUCAGCAUUUGCUGGCUUCUUCGCUUACCGGUU